Caenorhabditis elegans is the source of this 112-nucleotide non-coding RNA. Lineage: Eukaryota; Metazoa; Nematoda; Chromadorea; Rhabditida; Rhabditidae. The record is from Ensembl.
ACCCAACAGAUCGCCCCACUCCUCGAGUAAGAUGGAUGGUUCAUGUCAAAACGGCAUCUUUGUUUACUCGACGAGUCCCCCCUCUCUCCCCCAGUCGGGUAUAAGUGUUGUC